Molecule: long non-coding RNA, 209 nt
Filed under: Elaeis guineensis (African oil palm)
Lineage: Eukaryota; Viridiplantae; Streptophyta; Magnoliopsida; Arecales; Arecaceae
Description: long non-coding RNA (EGUI_LNC053882)
Source: RNAcentral
UUUUUUUUUUCUAUUUUUUUAUUAUUUUCUCUAUCAUUUUUUUACUUCAUCUCUUAUUCUCGAACCCCUUUAUUUAUAGGUAUUUUUUUUCUUUUUCUGGUAGAAAUCAGAGUCCUAAAAUCUCAUAAAAAUGUGUCCAACCCGCAUCUCUUGCUUCUGGCCAUCGGAUCUUGCAUCAACACUCUAGAUCAGUCUAAAAGAUCACCGCA